RNAcentral lists this unclassified non-coding RNA (282 nucleotides) under plant metagenome. RNAcentral's name for it is "partial contains small subunit ribosomal RNA, internal transcribed spacer 1, and 5.8S ribosomal RNA". The stretch from base 235 to 282 matches the Rfam family "5.8S ribosomal RNA", at positions 1 to 49 of the family's 154-position model. The record is from RNAcentral.
UUUCCGUAGGUGAACCUGCGGAAGGAUCAUUAUUGUAUAACCGAGGUGCGAGGGCUGUCGCUGACCCGAAAGGUCGUGCACGCCCGAGUGCCCUCACACACAUCCAUCUCACCCCUAUGUGCACCACCGCGUGGGUCCCCCUUUGGCUUGUUCGGAGGGGGGCUUACGUUUUCACACAAACUUUGUAUGCAGUGUAGAAUGUAAUUUUUGUUUUUGCGAUCACGCAAUCAAUACAACUUUCAACAACGGAUCUCUUGGCUCUCGCAUCGAUGAGAACGCAGC